RNAcentral lists this ribosomal RNA (253 nucleotides) under uncultured bacterium. Its description in RNAcentral is "partial 16S ribosomal RNA". It matches the Rfam family "Bacterial small subunit ribosomal RNA", at positions 524 to 776 of the family's 1533-position model. The record is from RNAcentral.
UACGUAGGGUGCAAGCGUUGUCCGGAAUUAUUGGGCGUAAAGAGCUCGUAGGCGGUUUGUCGCGUCGGCCGUGAAAUCUCCACGCUUAACGUGGAGCGUGCGGUCGAUACGGGCAGACUUGAGUUCGGUAGGGGAGACUGGAAUUCCUGGUGUAGCGGUGAAAUGCGCAGAUAUCAGGAGGAACACCGGUGGCGAAGGCGGCGUCCUGGACCAACACUGACACUGAUGAGCGAAAGCCAGGGGAGCAAACGGG